CACGUAGGGGGCGAGCGUUAAUCGGAAUUACUGGGCGUAAAGCGCGCGUAGGCGGCUUUGCAAGUCGGGUGUGAAAUCCCUGGGCUUAACCUGGGAACUGCAUUCGAGACUGCAUUGCUAGAGUAUGGGAGAGGGAAGUGGAAUUUCCGGUGUAGCGGUGAAAUGCGUAGACAUCGGAAGGAACACCAGUGGCGAAAGCGACUUCCUGGACCAAUACUGACGCUCAUGUGCGAAAGCGUGGGGAGCAAACAGG
This 253-nucleotide ribosomal RNA is filed under the name uncultured bacterium. Its description in RNAcentral is "partial 16S ribosomal RNA". It matches the Rfam family "Bacterial small subunit ribosomal RNA", at positions 524 to 776 of the family's 1533-position model. The record is from RNAcentral.